GAUCCCCGGAAGUUCGUGGCGAGCUCAUGGAGCUGGCUUGCGUGUGCAAAGAUGAUCUAGCAGUUGCCCAUCGUCGGUGCGCGGAGGCCUGGUUUCAAAUCCGAGGGAACAGGUUCGUAAACCAAACACGUCUUGAUUGAGCAGGAAAAGCAAAACGAACCUGGAUGAUGCAGGAGGUGUGAGAUAUGCGGGAAGAUCGUCACCAACAUCACGCUCAAACGGGGAAUGUGGAGCCGAGUGACCCGUAUAAUUAACCCCGAGGUAGAGCCCAGCCGGCAUCCACAUUGCAACGUUUUGGUAACGCUCUUCACAAUGGCGAUCCUGCUACCGCUCUUUGUCCGGCUAGCUAUCUAUAGAUGAAGGGGAUUUCUGAAGAAGCAAAUAGUCAGUUUCACGAAAACAAAAAUGACGAAAGAGAAAGAAGCUCUUCACCUGGAAUGCUGACGACUCCACACUGCAAGUAUCAGGCAACAGAGAGAAAGGAGAGCGAACAAACUGGGACACUCAACCUUCUAAGAAUGCUCGCGAUGUUAUUGAAUAGAGAAGCCAGAGGUUCACGAAACAUGUAGCUUGAUACUAUGUCUUCUCCUCGGUCGGUUUCUUUCCCGAAAGCUUAUCAUGUAACCAAUCCCACGGCUGUAAAAUACCAGAAGCGAAAUAUAAGAGAACUUUAAACGGCAAAAAGCAAGCGUUACGAACCUGAAUAAGCCAGAUUCCAGUCAUAACAGUGGUAGCGCUCCAUUGCACGGCAGACUUAUACUCUUCACCCCUUGCCUUGGCUGUUGGACUAAGCCAUUGAAGCGGAUUCAUGCGGAGGAAUUUGGCGGGUUUUUGAGACAUCUCCAACGCUGUAAAACAAGCACGAAACCAGGCAAGCACAAGCGUCGGAAGAAAACCAAGAGGCUUUUCACAGGCGCCACCCUUCGCUUACGUGGCAGGAGAAAAACUGCGUAUCAAAACUAAACAGGAAAAUAAAAACUCAGUCCCAUGUUAUUCAAGAAAAAAAAUUGAAAACGAAUGCUUAUGGACGAGUUUUGUGGGUAGAUGAUAGAGUCUUAAGAUCCAGCGGCUUGUCCCUCAGCAGGUUGCCUGGAAAAUUUCUCCUUCAACCAGUCAUACGGCUGCGAAUGCGAGAAGCCAAGUUAGCGAGAAGUAUUGAAACCAAAAACUCAAUCACGAAAGCAUGCAAUGACUCUUUGAUCAUCAACAACUUAAGAAAAAUAAGAGCAGACAAAAAAGAUAAUGUAAAGAUAAAACCACAAGAAUUCGCAAUCUCGAAAGCAUGCAAUGCAGUAAGACCAUUCUCUGAUCAUCAAACAGCUUUAAGAAAAAUAACCAAGAAGCGAGUAGAAAAAGAAAAUGUAGAGACACAACUACAAUGCGAAACAAAUGCUCCAAGAAUGCGCAAUCACGAAAGCAUGCAAUGCAGCACAAGAGGUAAGCAUUCUUUGACCAUCAAGCAACUUAAGAGAAACAACGAGCACAAAAAAGAAAGAGAGAAAUGUAAAGAACGUACCUGGAUCAGCCAAAAGCCAGUGACAAGGAAAGUAGUCCCCCAGCUCAUUACCGCUGCGAGCUCCGUUCUACUCAUCUUCGCCGUUGGGGACAGCACAGCCGAAACCCGUGGCAUCGUCGCAAUGCUCCUCGCGAAAACCCUGGAAAACGCUCGAGCGUCUCAGACAAAUCCUUCCUCUCAUCCGAUCUCGUCCAGAUCGUCCGCGAAGAAUCAAGAGAACGCACCUCUUCUCAACGGCGCCGGCGCCCUCGCCUCCCGAGCACAAAGGGCAAAAUAAAAAUAUGCCCUCGAGAUAUUCCCUCCAGGUCAUGUUUAUCUAGCUACGUCACCAGUACACCUCAGCUUACUUUC
RNAcentral lists this long non-coding RNA (1867 nucleotides) under Selaginella moellendorffii. Its description in RNAcentral is "long non-coding RNA (SMOE_LNC000146)". Lineage: Eukaryota; Viridiplantae; Streptophyta; Lycopodiopsida; Selaginellales; Selaginellaceae. The record is from RNAcentral.